RNAcentral lists this long non-coding RNA (376 nucleotides) under Trifolium pratense (red clover). RNAcentral's name for it is "long non-coding RNA (TPRA_LNC004867)". The record is from RNAcentral. Lineage: Eukaryota; Viridiplantae; Streptophyta; Magnoliopsida; Fabales; Fabaceae.
UCUGAUUCAUUGUAUUUUUUCUUUAAAUAUGUUUUGUGUUAAUCAAAACAUCCCCACCACAACUAUUUCUACUACUACAACAAUUAUAGUAUCAAUAACAUGUUUGUAAUAGCAAAAACCUCAUACCUGAAACAUAAUUUGGUAUUUACUAAACAAACUAAUAGCCAAAGGGACGAACCUUAUUGUACUGCAGGAGCCAUAUGAUUUUCUUAAUUGAUUUUUGCUACGUGCAGCCACUCAUAAUGAAAUAGCCUUGGUGCAACAUAAACCAUGAUUGUGGUUUUCUAAUUCAUAUUUAUCAGGACUUAUCUUGAAGCACCUGAUAUGCUAUUGCCUAUACGUGACCCUUUGGAACAAGCUUUAUGCUAUUGCCUUU